AUGGCCACCCCAGCUGCGACGCCGCCGGCGAAGAUGCGGGCGGUGCUGUACGACGCCUGCGGCGGAGGCUCCGCCGGCCUCAAGCAUGUGGAAGUCCCCGUCCCUUCAGCGAAGAAGAAUGAGGUCCUGUUGAAAGUAGAAGCUGCAGCCAUCAAUCCACUUGACUGCAAGAUACAGAAAGGGGACUUGCGGCCUCUGCUGCCUCGUAGACUGCCUUUUAUCCCAGUGACAGAUGUUGCAGGAGUAGUUGUGGGUGUCGGUCUUGGAGUGGAAGGUCUCAUAGUGGGGGAUCAAGUUGUGGCCAUGUUGAAGUCUCUUAACGGAGGCGGCCUCGCAGAGUACGCUGUUGCAUCCGCAAACCUGACUGUGAGAAGGCCACCGGAGGUUUGUGCGGCGGAGGGUGCCGGGCUUCCCAUUGCCGCAGGCACUGCGCUCCAGGCGCUGAGGUCCAUUGGUGCCAAGUUUCACCUCGACGGCGCCGGCAGCAAGCCUUUAAACGUGUUGAUCACCGCAGCCUCCGGCGGCGUAGGCCUGUACGCGGUGCAGCUUGCGAAGCUGGCCAACCUCCAUGUCACCGCCACCUGUGGCGCCCGCAACAUGGAUCUUGUCAAGGGCUUGGGCGCGGACGAGGUGAUGGACUACAGGACCCCGGAGGGGGCUAGCCUGCUGAGCCCGUCCGGCGCCAAGUACGAUGGCGUGGUUCACUGCACCGUCGGCGUCAGCUGGUCGUCAUUCCGGCCGUUGCUGAGCGACGCCGGGGGGAGAGUGAUAGACAUCACCCCAAACUUGUGGGCCAUCCUCAGAUAUAUCCUGCACGGGGUGACAUUCUCCAAGAAGCGCCUCGUGCCCCUGCUCGUGUCGCCCAACAAGGCAGACCUGGAGUUCUUGGUCGCCUUGCUCAGGGACGGCAAGCUCAAGACGGUGAUCGACUCGAGGUUCCCGUUGGGCGACGCGGGCAAGGCGUGGCAGACCAGUAUCGAAGGCCACGCGACUGGCAAGAUUGUCGUCGACACACAGAGCUAA
RNAcentral lists this ribosomal RNA (1023 nucleotides) under Triticum aestivum (bread wheat). Its description in RNAcentral is "partial small subunit ribosomal RNA". Lineage: Eukaryota; Viridiplantae; Streptophyta; Magnoliopsida; Poales; Poaceae. The record is from RNAcentral.